GCCUAGGUAGUUCAAUGGUAGAACGCACGACUGAAGUUUCAAGAGAUCGUGUAACAGUGGUUCGAUUCCGCUCCUGGGCA
RNAcentral lists this transfer RNA (80 nucleotides) under Pseudomonadota bacterium. RNAcentral's name for it is "Proteobacteria bacterium (activated sludge metagenome) tRNA-OTHER". It matches the Rfam family "tRNA". From Rfam's summary of the family: Transfer RNA (tRNA) molecules are approximately 80 nucleotides in length. Their secondary structure includes four short double-helical elements and three loops (D, anti-codon, and T loops). The record is from RNAcentral. Lineage: Bacteria; Pseudomonadati; Pseudomonadota.